This 1235-nucleotide long non-coding RNA is filed under the name Chinchilla lanigera (long-tailed chinchilla). Its description in RNAcentral is "lncRNA (ENSCLAG00000027660.1)". The record is from RNAcentral. Lineage: Eukaryota; Metazoa; Chordata; Mammalia; Rodentia; Chinchillidae.
CUGAGAUGUCCCAAGUGAACCGGCAGGUCACCCUAGUUUCCACAAAACGGAAGCCUGUCAUGGUCUCAUGAUGAGAGAGGCUGGGCUGCGCCCGGUGUGGGACCCACGGCGCCCCCAGAUUGCAGGCUUCUCCCGUCUCUGACCUGCUGCCCUCAGCAUGAGGCUGUCAUUGUUCAGGUGACUUCAUGGCCCAACAGGGCAGCCAGAGCGCCAGCCACCACAGGGCAGGUCCAAGAGGCAGGGAGGAGGGGCAAAGCGAGCAAAGUGUCGCUGGUCUGUCGCCUCUCACAGAAACUUCUGCUCAACACCACAGGGCCAUCAGGUCCCCAAUAUGGUGGCCAAGCACGUUGUCACUCAGCUGGAGAUCGGGGCUGUGCCAGGCAGGAGAAGGAGAGUGAGGAUGCUGGACGGACGACCCCAUGCGAGCCAACAGACAAGCCCGGCCUCUGCUCAGGCCUGUGCUGGGAGCUGCUCCUCCAAGCAGGGCACGGGGGCGGGCAACAGCAGCUGACUGGGCUGGUGAUCGGCACGCCGGGCAGACGAUGGGAUAUGACUCUGCUGGGACAGGGGACUGGUGAGGCACGGGCAAAGAUUUCUCUCUCACGUCCUUCGAGGGCUCUGGCCUGGCGGCUCCAGGCCCCACUGUCAGCUCUGCGAGUCUCCUUAGCGCGAGCCAGGGAAGGCAGAGUCACACAGCUCUGCGGGGAGCUCCUGUCCUGCUGGAGAGGCAGCCCUCUCCUCCCCACCUCGCCACCCCAGAGCUGAAGAGAGGAGCAGAGGAGAAGUCAGCCUCUGCUAACACCGACAACACACGGUGCCUGGAGUCUUGGCUGAAGACGGCUCUUCACGAGGACCGAUUCCUCGUUUGCUUGAAUUUUCCCGUUUGGAUUUCACCGUAAGCUGAAAGCUAUUAUAAUGCACGAUUGUACCUCCUGUUAUGUUUUUUGAAACUGAAUUAUCAUCAAGCAGCUGUGAACAGUUAUCUCCAACUGUAAUUCUUUUCUAAGUUAAAUUCUUCAGAGGAACAGGUAAACUGUGCUUUAAAUCAUUAGUUUAAAACUAAGCAGACAAAGCCAGGUAGGAUGGUGCACGCCUGCCAUCCCAGCACUCAGGAGGCUGAGGCAGAAGGAUCACUGCAAGUUCAAGGCCAGCCUGGGCUACAUAGUGAGACCCUGUCUCAAAACAAGCAAACAAAACUAACAGGCGAGACCUGAUACCAUGGGUUUCAGCAAGAG